This is a long non-coding RNA of Homo sapiens (human), 772 nucleotides long. NCBI's taxonomy places the organism in Eukaryota, Metazoa, Chordata, Mammalia, Primates, Hominidae. The record is from Ensembl.
GGAAGUGGUGAAGACGCACCUGCGGGACAUGAUCAUCCUGCCCAAGAUGGUGGGCAGCAUGGUGGGCGUCUACAACGGCAAGACCUUCAACCAGGUGGAGAUCAAGCCGGAGAUGAUCAGUCACUACCUGGGCGAGUUCUCCAUCACCUAUAAGCUGGUGAAGCACUGCCGGCCCGGCAUCGGGGCCACCCACUCCUCCCGCUUCAUCCCCCUCAAGUAGUGGCUCAGCUAAUAAAGGCACACAUAUUUCCAAAAAAAAAAAAAAAAAGGAAGUUAAAUGGAUGGUUUUGCCGGGGACUCACUGCAAACACCUACAACAUUCCAAGGAACCAGACCCUUCAGUAGUGCUGGAUAGGUGAUGGUAAUGCCAACCUACACGUGUUGGAGUUUUCAACAAUGCUGUGCCAUAAGCUCAUGAGAAGUUAUAGUCUGACAAUGAUGAUAGACUUGAAUUCUGGAAUCUUGGGCAGUCUGUUCCAGAAAUGAUACACACUGGUACUUUCAUUUCAAAGUAUGAAGAAAGAUAAACCACAUACAGGAACAGCACAAGAUUCCUAACAGGUUCUGUUGAACUUAAAUUGCUUUAAAGAUUUUUUUGCAUUAUCUGAAGAGAAUCACCAGGUUUUGGUUUUGAGAACUCUGAAGGCAAGAAGCAGGAGGAUCCAGACCGGAAAGCAUUGAACCAGCCCUCUCACUCCAUCUUCCUACACAUAAAACAGAACAAAAUAAACUAUUGUCAUAACUCCACACAAUUAUAUUAAGAGACUAAAAA